This is a long non-coding RNA of Clupea harengus (Atlantic herring), 856 nucleotides long. RefSeq lists it as uncharacterized. Lineage: Eukaryota; Metazoa; Chordata; Actinopteri; Clupeiformes; Clupeidae. The record is from RefSeq and is a predicted model, not a curated record.
GUGUGUCUGCGAUCCUUUCCCUUUAAAUUGCCCAUGCUGCGGAAAAAGUAAGGAGUGGUGUAGUCUGGUGUAUGUGUCCCAGCCCAGUCGUCCGCACCAGUCUUUUGUAUGCACAGCGUUGCUUGACUGCAGAUUUCAUUUUAACGCUUUAACUAACCGACUAAUGACAAUUUGCCGUAAGAGAAAAGCCGCGGCAGACCGACUGAACCUGGAAAACAUAGGUUGCUGCAUUUAGGUGGUCUGCUGCGUCUUGCAUCCAAUUAUCGGCGCACGAUACCGGUGGGCAGCGGCAUUAGGGGCGGAUACAGAAGCAGAAGAACCUCAAGCAUCAUGUGUGUGUGGCCAAAAGAUGGCGUCAAUCCAGCCAGCACAUGCCAAUGGAUAUGAUCAAUUUGGCUUAUUCUUGCACCUUUGAAUUUUAGAGGAGGUGCUCAUUGCUACUUUGGUUUAGAAGCCACGUCACCGAAUUUUUUCUGUGUCUCCUCACGACAACCUGCUGUAGAGACCGAGAACCGUCGGGGGGAGGCGAGGACACACCCGCACCGUACCGCGUUCUUCCCCCCUCCUCCUGCGCCAGGAUCAUGCUCCCAGUGCGCCGGUAGCUGCUGCAGAACACGCCAGGACCUGGAACCUGGGAAUAUAUAUAUGAAUAUUUUGGGAUACAUUUCCAUAUGAGUUCGCGGACACCUUCGUCGCUACUGAAGGAUAUUUUCAUUUUUGGCACCGGUCCGCGUCCCGCCGUGGCCAGGUGGCGUGGCUUUGAUAAAGAAGUUUAUUUGCAGGGCUUUUCUUUGUGACAUCCUGUGGCCCUCGGCUCUCUACGGUGUUGAGCCCCCCCCCUCCCCAACGCCCCCCC